RNAcentral lists this unclassified non-coding RNA (354 nucleotides) under Hevea brasiliensis (rubber tree). Lineage: Eukaryota; Viridiplantae; Streptophyta; Magnoliopsida; Malpighiales; Euphorbiaceae. The record is from RNAcentral.
CUUUCCAUUCCAUUUUCUGAUUUGGAGACAAAAAAAGCCUUGGACCGUAAAUUCAACGUUGAAGGUAUUCCCUGUUUAAUUAUUUUGCAACCUAGGGAUAAUAAGGAUGAGGCAACAUUGCACGAUGGAGUUGAAAUCCUUUAUCGAUUCGGAGUCCAAGCUUUCCCAUUUACUAAACAGAGACUGCAGGAGUUGGAAAUGCAAGAAAAGGAAAAGCAUGAGAGCCAGACCUUAACCAAUUUACUAACAAACAAUGGUAGAGACUAUCUUUUCGGUCAUCCUGCACCUAAACAGGUUCCAGUUGAUUCAUUGCUAGGCAAAACAAUUGGACUUUUCUUCUCAGCCCAAUGGUGU